This 214-nucleotide ribosomal RNA is filed under the name uncultured fungus. Its description in RNAcentral is "partial small subunit ribosomal RNA". The stretch from base 45 to 214 matches the Rfam family "Eukaryotic small subunit ribosomal RNA", at positions 692 to 864 of the family's 1831-position model. Lineage: Eukaryota; Fungi. The record is from RNAcentral.
GGUUGGGUCUGUCUAACCGCCGCAAGGUGUGAACGGAUGGGUCCUUCCUUCCUCUUGAAGACUCCAUGUGCACUUCACGGUGUGUGUGGCAGGAUUCGAGACUUUUACUUUGAAAAAAUUAGAGUGUUCAAAGCAGGCCUUCGCUUGAAUACAUUAGCAUGGAAUAAUGAAAUAGGACGUCGGUUCUAUUUUGUUGGUUUCUAGGACCGAAGUA